CAGUCGCCGCGGUAAGACGAACCGUGCGAACGUUAUUCGGAAUUACUGGGCUUAAAGCGCGUGUAGGCGGGCCGCCACGUCGGUUGCUGAAAUCCCCCGGCUCAACCGGGGAAGUGGCAUCGAUACGAGCGGCCUUGAGGGGGGUAGGGGGAUCUGGAACUUCCGGUGGAGCGGUGAAAUGCGUUGGGAUCGGAAAGAACACCAACGGCGAAAGCACUCUGCUGGGCCGACACUGACACUGAGAGACGAAAGCUAGGGGAGCAAAUGGGAUUAGAGACCCGUGUAGUCCCUGUCUCUUAUA
Molecule: ribosomal RNA, 301 nt
Filed under: uncultured bacterium
Lineage: Bacteria
Description: partial 16S ribosomal RNA
Rfam family: Bacterial small subunit ribosomal RNA
Source: RNAcentral